RNAcentral lists this ribosomal RNA (406 nucleotides) under uncultured bacterium. Its description in RNAcentral is "partial 16S ribosomal RNA". It matches the Rfam family "Bacterial small subunit ribosomal RNA", at positions 30 to 526 of the family's 1533-position model. The record is from RNAcentral.
AUUGAACGCUGGCGGCAGGCCUAACACAUGCAAGUCGAACGAGUGGCGGACGGGUGAGUAAUGUCUGGGAAACUGCCUGAUGGAGGGGGAUAACUACUGGAAACGGUAGCUAAUACCGCAUACCAUCGGAUGUGCCCAGAUGGGAUUAGCUAGUAGGUGGUGUAAAGUCUCACCUAGGCGACGAUCCCUAGCUGGUCUGAGAGGAUGACCAGCCAAUCUGGAACUGAGACACGGUCCAGACGCUGACGGGAGGCAGUAGUGGGGAAUAUUGCCCAAUGGGCGCAAGCCUGAUGCAGACAUGAAGAGUGUAUGAAGAAGGCCUUCGGGUUGUAAAGUACUUUAAGCGAGGAGGCGUUACUCGCAGAAGAAGCGCCGGCUAACUCAGGGCCAGCAGCCGCGGUAAUAC